This 551-nucleotide ribosomal RNA is filed under the name uncultured bacterium. RNAcentral's name for it is "bacterial SSU rRNA". It matches the Rfam family "Bacterial small subunit ribosomal RNA", at positions 355 to 896 of the family's 1533-position model. The record is from RNAcentral.
UAGGGAAUCUUCGGCAAUGGGGGGAACCCUGNCCGAGCAACGCCGCGUGAGUGAAGAAGGUUUUCGGAUCGUAAAGCUCUGUUGUUAAGGAAGAACGUGUGUGAGAGUGGAAAGUUCACACAGUGACGGUACUUAACCAGAAAGGGACGGCUAACUACGUGCCAGCAGCCGCGGUAAUACGUAGGUCCCGAGCGUUGUCCGGAUUUAUUGGGCGUAAAGCGAGCGCAGGCGGUUAGAUAAGUCUGAAGUGAAAGGCAGUGGCUCAACCAUUGUAGGCUUUGGAAACUGUUUAACUUGAGUGCAGAAGGGGAGAGUGGAAUUCCAUGUGUAGCGGUGAAAUGCGUAGAUAUAUGGAGGAACACCGGUGGCGAAAGCGGCUCUCUGGUCUGUAACUGACGCUGAGGCUCGAAAGCGUGGGGAGCGAACAGGAUUAGAUACCCUGGUAGUCCACGCCGUAAACGAUGAGUGCUAGGUGUUAGGUCCUUUCCGGGACUUAGUGCCGCAGCUAACGCAUUAAGCACUCCGCCUGGGGCNGUANGACCGCAAGGUUG